AUGGCAAUAGCACAAACGACCACCAUCUUCUUCUCUGCCAUCGCCAUCAUGCUCUUUUCCUCGUCAAUUGUUGCUCAUACUAGCGGUGACGUUGAUGGCAAGCCGAAGGCAGCCGAUUUCGUGACAGAAGCAUGCAAGAACGCUACAGCCAACUACGACAAAGAAAUCCACCUCACAGAGAAAUUCUGUGUCUCGACCCUCCGGUCGGACAAGCGGAGCGAGAAGGCAAAGGACCUUCGUGACCUGGCACUCAUCGGCGUAGACAUCCUCAAAGCACGUGUCAUCGCCGCCAAUGGUAAGGUCCAAAAAAUGUUGCACAAAGCCAAAACUGGCACGUCGAUGGCGCGCCGCCUCACUUUCUGCAAGCUGGACUAUGACGUGACGGUAAGCAUCACGAACGUCUGCACCGCCUUGCUGAAGGACUUCCGUGGCCCUAACGGCGGUGACAACGAUGGACCGGCAUCUUUUAUGCUCCCUCAAUGUGUGGAGCAGGCGAACACCCUCAACGGUUACUGCGGGCAUGAGCUUAUGGAUUUGCCGGGGCUUCAAGCGCUGUUCAACGAAAAUCUUGACAUGAGUAUGCUGGCCCACCUCAACAUGGCCUUGCUAGAACCAUAUAGAGACGACGAUUCAUAA
This 636-nucleotide ribosomal RNA is filed under the name Triticum aestivum (bread wheat). Its description in RNAcentral is "partial small subunit ribosomal RNA". Lineage: Eukaryota; Viridiplantae; Streptophyta; Magnoliopsida; Poales; Poaceae. The record is from RNAcentral.